GGACGGGUGAGUAACGCGUGNGUAACCUGCCUUCAAGAGGGGGAUAACAUUCUGAAAAGAAUGCUAAUACCGCAUGACAUAUCGGAACCACAUGGUUUUGAUAUCAAAGAUUUAUCGCUUGAAGAUGGACUCGCGUCCGAUUAGUUAGUUGGUGAGGUAACGGCUCACCAAGACCGCGAUCGGUAGCCGGACUGAGAGGUUGAACGGCCACAUUGGGACUGAGACACGGCCCAGACUCCUACGGGAGGCAGCAUG
Molecule: ribosomal RNA, 255 nt
Filed under: uncultured bacterium
Lineage: Bacteria
Description: partial 16S ribosomal RNA
Rfam family: Bacterial small subunit ribosomal RNA
Source: RNAcentral